Molecule: ribosomal RNA, 447 nt
Filed under: uncultured bacterium
Lineage: Bacteria
Description: partial 16S ribosomal RNA
Rfam family: Bacterial small subunit ribosomal RNA
Source: RNAcentral
GUAGGGAAUAUUGGGCAAUGGGCGAAAGCCUGACCCAGCCAUGCCGCGUGAAGGAAGACGGCCUUAUGGGUUGUAAACUUCUUUACUACGCGAAUAGAGGUUAGUACGAGAUACUAAUAGGAAGGUAGUGUAGUAAAAAGCACCGGCUAACUCCGUGCCAGCAGCCGCGGUAAUACGGAGGGUGCAAGCGUUAUUCGGAAUUACUGGGUUUAAAGGGUGCGUAGGCGGUUAAAUAAGUUGUCAGUGAAAGGCUACGGCUCAACUGUAGUAGUGCUGGCGAUACUGUAUAACUAAGAACAUGGGAGGGGUACCUGGAAUGUGUGGUGUAGCGGUGAAAUGCGUAGAUAUCACACAGAACACCGGAGGCAAAGGCGGGGUACUAGACCAUAGUUGACGCUGAGGCACGAAAGCGUGGGGAUCAAACAGGAUUAGAAACCCCAGUAGUCC